RNAcentral lists this ribosomal RNA (2923 nucleotides) under Staphylococcus aureus. RNAcentral describes it as "bacterial LSU rRNA". It matches the Rfam family "Bacterial large subunit ribosomal RNA". RNAcentral also lists the same sequence under 2 other names. Lineage: Bacteria; Bacillati; Bacillota; Bacilli; Caryophanales; Staphylococcaceae. The record is from RNAcentral.
GAUUAAGUUAUUAAGGGCGCACGGUGGAUGCCUUGGCACUAGAAGCCGAUGAAGGACGUUACUAACGACGAUAUGCUUUGGGGAGCUGUAAGUAAGCUUUGAUCCAGAGAUUUCCGAAUGGGGAAACCCAGCAUGAGUUAUGUCAUGUUAUCGAUAUGUGAAUACAUAGCAUAUCAGAAGGCACACCCGGAGAACUGAAACAUCUUAGUACCCGGAGGAAGAGAAAGAAAAUUCGAUUCCCUUAGUAGCGGCGAGCGAAACGGGAAGAGCCCAAACCAACAAGCUUGCUUGUUGGGGUUGUAGGACACUCUAUACGGAGUUACAAAGGACGACAUUAGACGAAUCAUCUGGAAAGAUGAAUCAAAGAAGGUGAUAAUCCUGUAGUCGAAAAUGUUGUCUCUCUUGAGUGGAUCCUGAGUACGACGGAGCACGUGAAAUUCCGUCGGAAUCUGGGAGGACCAUCUCCUAAGGCUAAAUACUCUCUAGUGACCGAUAGUGAACCAGUACCGUGAGGGAAAGGUGAAAAGCACCCCGGAAGGGGAGUGAAAUAGAACCUGAAACCGUGUGCUUACAAGUAGUCAGAGCCCGUUAAUGGGUGAUGGCGUGCCUUUUGUAGAAUGAACCGGCGAGUUACGAUUUGAUGCAAGGUUAAGCAGUAAAUGUGGAGCCGUAGCGAAAGCGAGUCUGAAUAGGGCGUUUAGUAUUUGGUCGUAGACCCGAAACCAGGUGAUCUACCCUUGGUCAGGUUGAAGUUCAGGUAACACUGAAUGGAGGACCGAACCGACUUACGUUGAAAAGUGAGCGGAUGAACUGAGGGUAGCGGAGAAAUUCCAAUCGAACCUGGAGAUAGCUGGUUCUCUCCGAAAUAGCUUUAGGGCUAGCCUCAAGUGAUGAUUAUUGGAGGUAGAGCACUGUUUGGACGAGGGGCCCCUCUCGGGUUACCGAAUUCAGACAAACUCCGAAUGCCAAUUAAUUUAACUUGGGAGUCAGAACAUGGGUGAUAAGGUCCGUGUUCGAAAGGGAAACAGCCCAGACCACCAGCUAAGGUCCCAAAAUAUAUGUUAAGUGGAAAAGGAUGUGGCGUUGCCCAGACAACUAGGAUGUUGGCUUAGAAGCAGCCAUCAUUUAAAGAGUGCGUAAUAGCUCACUAGUCGAGUGACACUGCGCCGAAAAUGUACCGGGGCUAAACAUAUUACCGAAGCUGUGGAUUGUCCUUUGGACAAUGGUAGGAGAGCGUUCUAAGGGCGUUGAAGCAUGAUCGUAAGGACAUGUGGAGCGCUUAGAAGUGAGAAUGCCGGUGUGAGUAGCGAAAGACGGGUGAGAAUCCCGUCCACCGAUUGACUAAGGUUUCCAGAGGAAGGCUCGUCCGCUCUGGGUUAGUCGGGUCCUAAGCUGAGGCCGACAGGCGUAGGCGAUGGAUAACAGGUUGAUAUUCCUGUACCACCUAUAAUCGUUUUAAUCGAUGGGGGGACGCAGUAGGAUAGGCGAAGCGUGCGAUUGGAUUGCACGUCUAAGCAGUAAGGCUGAGUAUUAGGCAAAUCCGGUACUCGUUAAGGCUGAGCUGUGAUGGGGAGAAGACAUUGUGUCUUCGAGUCGUUGAUUUCACACUGCCGAGAAAAGCCUCUAGAUAGAAAAUAGGUGCCCGUACCGCAAACCGACACAGGUAGUCAAGAUGAGAAUUCUAAGGUGAGCGAGCGAACUCUCGUUAAGGAACUCGGCAAAAUGACCCCGUAACUUCGGGAGAAGGGGUGCUCUUUAGGGUUAACGCCCAGAAGAGCCGCAGUGAAUAGGCCCAAGCGACUGUUUAUCAAAAACACAGGUCUCUGCUAAACCGUAAGGUGAUGUAUAGGGGCUGACGCCUGCCCGGUGCUGGAAGGUUAAGAGGAGUGGUUAGCUUCUGCGAAGCUACGAAUCGAAGCCCCAGUAAACGGCGGCCGUAACUAUAACGGUCCUAAGGUAGCGAAAUUCCUUGUCGGGUAAGUUCCGACCCGCACGAAAGGCGUAACGAUUUGGGCACUGUCUCAACGAGAGACUCGGUGAAAUCAUAGUACCUGUGAAGAUGCAGGUUACCCGCGACAGGACGGAAAGACCCCGUGGAGCUUUACUGUAGCCUGAUAUUGAAAUUCGGCACAGCUUGUACAGGAUAGGUAGGAGCCUUUGAAACGUGAGCGCUAGCUUACGUGGAGGCGCUGGUGGGAUACUACCCUAGCUGUGUUGGCUUUCUAACCCGCACCACUUAUCGUGGUGGGAGACAGUGUCAGGCGGGCAGUUUGACUGGGGCGGUCGCCUCCUAAAAGGUAACGGAGGCGCUCAAAGGUUCCCUCAGAAUGGUUGGAAAUCAUUCAUAGAGUGUAAAGGCAUAAGGGAGCUUGACUGCGAGACCUACAAGUCGAGCAGGGUCGAAAGACGGACUUAGUGAUCCGGUGGUUCCGCAUGGAAGGGCCAUCGCUCAACGGAUAAAAGCUACCCCGGGGAUAACAGGCUUAUCUCCCCCAAGAGUUCACAUCGACGGGGAGGUUUGGCACCUCGAUGUCGGCUCAUCGCAUCCUGGGGCUGUAGUCGGUCCCAAGGGUUGGGCUGUUCGCCCAUUAAAGCGGUACGCGAGCUGGGUUCAGAACGUCGUGAGACAGUUCGGUCCCUAUCCGUCGUGGGCGUAGGAAAUUUGAGAGGAGCUGUCCUUAGUACGAGAGGACCGGGAUGGACAUACCUCUGGUGUACCAGUUGUCGUGCCAACGGCAUAGCUGGGUAGCUAUGUGUGGACGGGAUAAGUGCUGAAAGCAUCUAAGCAUGAAGCCCCCCUCAAGAUGAGAUUUCCCAACUUCGGUUAUAAGAUCCCUCAAAGAUGAUGAGGUUAAUAGGUUCGAGGUGGAAGCAUGGUGACAUGUGGAGCUGACGAAUACUAAUCGAUCGAAGACUUAAUCAA